This 449-nucleotide ribosomal RNA is filed under the name uncultured bacterium. RNAcentral describes it as "bacterial SSU rRNA". It matches the Rfam family "Bacterial small subunit ribosomal RNA", at positions 330 to 793 of the family's 1533-position model. The record is from RNAcentral.
CCCAGACUCCUACGGGAGGCAGCAGUGGGGAAUAUUGCACAAUGGGCGAAAGCCUGAUGCAGCAACGCCGCGUGAAGGAAGAAGGGUUUCGGCUCGUAAACUUCUAUCAACAGGGACGAAAGAAAUGACGGUACCUGAAUAAGAAGCCCCGGCUAACUACGUGCCAGCAGCCGCGGUAAUACGUAGGGGACGAGCGUUAUCCGGAUUCACUGGGUGUAAAGGGAGCGUAGACGGCCAAGCAAGCCAGGGGUGAAAGCCCGGGGCCCAACCCCGGGACUGCCCUUGGAACUGCACGGCUGGAGUGCGGGAGGGGCAGGCGGAAUUCCUGGUGUAGCGGUGAAAUGCGUAGAUAUCAGGAGGAACACCGGUGGCGAAGGCGGCCUGCUGGACUGCGACUGACGUUGAGGCCCGAAAGCGUGGGGAGCAAACAGGAUUAGAUACCCUAGUAU